AGUCGAGCGAACAGAUGAGAAGNUUGCUUCUCUGAUGUUAGCGGCGGACGGGUGAGUAACACGUGGGUAACCUACCUAUAAGACUGGGAUAACUCCGGGAAACCGGGGCUAAUACCGGAUAAUAUUUUGAACCGCAUGGUUCAAUAGUGAAAGACGGUUUCGGCUGUCACUUAUAGAUGGACCCGCGCCGUAUUAGCUAGUUGGUAAGGUAACGGCUUACCAAGGCGACGAUACGUAGCCGACCUGAGAGGGUGAUCGGCCACACUGGAACUGAGACACGGUCCAGACUCCUACGGGAGGCAGCAGUAGGGAAUCUUCCGCAAUGGGCGAAAGCCUGACGGAGCAACGCCGCGUGAGUGAUGAAGGUCUUCGGAUCGUAAAACUCUGUUGUUAGGGAAGAACAAAUUUGUUAGUAACUGAACAAGUCUUGACGGUACCUAACCAGAAAGCCACGGCUAACUACGUGCCAGCAGCCGCGGUAAUACGUAGGUGGCAAGCGUUAUCCGGAAUUAUUGGGCGUAAAGCGCGCGUAGGCGGUUUCUUAAGUCUGAUGUGAAAGCCCACGGCUCAACCGUGGAGGGUCAUUGGAAACUGGGAAACUUGAGUGCAGAAGAGGAGAGUGGAAUUCCAUGUGUAGCGGUGAAAUGCGCAGAGAUAUGGAGGAACACCAGUGGCGAAGGCGGCUCUCUGGUCUGUAACUGACGCUGAUGUGCGAAAGCGUGGGGAUCAAACAGGAUUAGAUACCCUGGUAGUCCACGCCGUAAACGAUGAGUGCUAAGUGUUAGGGGGUUUCCGCCCCUUAGUGCUGCAGCUAACGCAUUAAGCACUCCGCCUGGGGAGUACGACCGCAAGGUUGAAACUCAAAGGAAUUGACGGGGACCCGCACAAGCGGUGGAGCAUGUGGUUUAAUUCGAAGCAACGCGAAGAACCUUACCAAAUCUUGACAUCCUUUGANCGCUCUAGAGAUAGAGUCUUCCCCUUCGGGGGACAAAGUGACAGGUGGUGCAUGGUUGUCGUCAGCUCGUGUCGUGAGAUGUUGGGUUAAGUCCCGCAACGAGCGCAACCCUUAAGCUUAGUUGCCAUCAUUAAGUUGGGCACUCUAGGUUGACUGCCGGUGACAAACCGGAGGAAGGUGGGGAUGACGUCAAAUCAUCAUGCCCCUUAUGAUUUGGGCUACACACGUGCUACAAUGGAUAAUACAAAGGGCAGCGAAUCCGCGAGGCCAAGCAAAUCCCAUAAAAUUAUUCUCAGUUCGGAUUGUAGUCUGCAACUCGACUACAUGAAGCUGGAAUCGCUAGUAAUCGUAGAUCAGCAUGCUACGGUGAAUACGUUCCCGGGUCUUGUACACACCGCCCGUCACACCACGAGAGUUUGUAACACCCGAAGCCGGUGGAGUAACCUUUUAGGAGCUAGCCGUCGAG
Molecule: ribosomal RNA, 1421 nt
Filed under: bacterium
Lineage: Bacteria
Description: bacterial SSU rRNA
Rfam family: Bacterial small subunit ribosomal RNA
Source: RNAcentral